AUUGCAGUGUUCAUCCUGAUCGUCUUGACAGCUAACCAAAAAAAUGGCUCACUUCUGCUGCAUUUUUUCUACGCCAUCAAUCAACAUUACAACAACUGCCAUGUCAGAAAGAUGUCCGAAAAUAUGGAAGCAACUGCCUGUGUCGGUUAUUCAGUCGAUUCGACCAAGGCACUCUCCCGAAGUCUUCCAAAGCCGGAAACAACUCCACAAGUCCUUCAGUUUUGCCUCCCCUGAUUACUGCGCUCUACUAUGCAAAAUGUGUACACGGUUUGAAGAAUGAUGCUGUUCCUGUGAAAUAAUAUUUUCCGGUUUCCUCCGACUUCGGUACGAUCACUGACAUCAGUGGCUAUAGCCAAACGGACGAAAGAUGUGGGAAAGCGACAGGUUUCGGUUAAAACAAUCAAGUACAGGAAGACCACGAUGAAUUGAAUCAUCGUCUGAAACAGCAACUCGUGAACUCGUCAUUAAGAAGAAAGCUCCGGAAUUAUAUGGACGAUCUGGAACUGAUUGGCGUAGCUUGACCACCAGCUAAGAACGGCAAAGCUAGUCGCCAAAACAUCAAAGUAUGCGUACGGCUAGACUAAACGGUGUUACCGAUGGCUAUCACGCUGGAAACCAACUAUUCGGGCAUCUGUAGUAGCCGUUGAGCGUAAUGCAGGAUAUAGUGAUCGGUGCAAUUCUUUAAGUAGAUACUGAGGAGAUUUAGCCAAUGCUUCAACUUCAGAACCAUACUGGUCAACACCCAACACAAAGUGCCAGUGCCAGUUUUCAUGCCGUCACUCAUUUUUAACAGCACAUCGGUUUCAGCAUCUCAUGCAGUUUGGACACCAUUCAGAAAGCUCUGCUUGGAAUAGCUCCUUUUGAUAAUUAUGUAGUGGCGUGUUGAUCAACAGUUCGUGAGCUAAUGCUAAUGUUGGAACCUUUCCUUAGCCAUGUGGUGAGAUGCGCGGCUACAAAACGAGAUCACUGAGUUCAAUUUUUGUCCCGUCAUAGGAAAUUUACAUUUCUGACUAAGUUGCAAGGCAAAAGGAAAUCGAAGAUGGGAAAUGUUUUGAAGAAAUUGUUCUUGUACGACUUCAUUCGAUAACAUUCCGAGCAGCAUACUAAAUUUGUUCUACGCAGGCCAAUUUGAACGACACCUUUUCAUAGUUUGUCAGCAAGGAUUUGAGCUUGGAUGUUUCCAACGACAGUUCAUGCUUACGACACAUCUGUUGCUUGCGCUCGCAGUUUAUGGUAAUAUCGAAGCAGCAACCAAAAAAUGUCCUCAGCAAUAACUAAGUUUGGAUGCUUUCAACUUGGAAAUUGCAAGACCUAUUUCGUUCGUCAUAUCGGUGUCGGUAUCACUGGACCAAGGCUGCAUAUUUGACACAUUCUUUGAUACAUUACAGUAGUAAUAUGUACUAGGUAUUUGGUUAAAGUGUUGCUACUUAACAGCUGAUUAGGGAUGCAAUUCCUUGUCGGUGUCGGAUCGUAAUUAGUUUCUCCGGAGGCAAUUUUUAACGGUUACACAUGCUUAUUAAAUUCAUUAAUAUGUAUUCGGAUAUUGUAGUUCAUUGCGUUACCCAAGUUAAUUGCAUUCACGCCUUAAAACGAAGUCGAUCGUUUGCAUUGUUAUGAGACAUAUCUUCUUCUUCUUCAUCGGCAUCCCAUCCCCCACUGGCACUUUGACGCCUCGCAGCUCGCAGUGUUCAUUAAGCACUUUCAACUGUUAUUAACUGCGCGGUUUCUAAGCCAAGGUACCAUUUCUGCAUUCGUACAUCAUGACUCAUGACGCUAACACAAUGAUACUUUUAUGCCCAGGAAAGUCGAGACAAUUUCCAACCCGAAAAUUUCCUAGAUCGGACCGGGAAACGAACCCAGCCACCCUCAGCAUGGUUUUGCUUUGUAGCCGCGCAUCUUACCGUACGGCUAAUGACAUAAAUCCUGUAGCAAUAGAAUCUGA
Armigeres subalbatus is the source of this 1942-nucleotide long non-coding RNA. RefSeq lists it as uncharacterized. The record is from RefSeq and is a predicted model, not a curated record. The transcript is spliced from 4 exons. Lineage: Eukaryota; Metazoa; Arthropoda; Insecta; Diptera; Culicidae.